This 254-nucleotide ribosomal RNA is filed under the name uncultured bacterium. RNAcentral describes it as "partial 16S ribosomal RNA". It matches the Rfam family "Bacterial small subunit ribosomal RNA", at positions 524 to 776 of the family's 1533-position model. The record is from RNAcentral.
UACGAAGGGGGCUAGCGUUGUUCGGAAUUACUGGGCGUAAAGCGCACGUAGGCGGGUUUGUAAGUAGGGGGUGAAAUCCCAGGGCUCAACCCUGGAACUGCCUUCUAGACUGCAAGCCUGGAGGUCAGGAGAGGCGAGUGGAAUACCGAGUGUAGAGGUGAAAAUUCGUAGAUAUUCGGUGGAACACCAGUGGCGAAGGCGACUCGCUGGACUGAUACUGACGCUGAGGUGCGAAAGCGUGGGGAGCAAACAGG